UAAUAGAAAGCGAAAAACUCGCUUACGGUUUCGACCCGUGGGGUGGUAGUGAGAGUCUGCCUCUGUUAA
RNAcentral lists this transfer RNA (69 nucleotides) under Titiscania limacina. Its description in RNAcentral is "tRNA-Arg". Lineage: Eukaryota; Metazoa; Mollusca; Gastropoda; Cycloneritida; Neritopsidae. The record is from RNAcentral.